This 459-nucleotide ribosomal RNA is filed under the name uncultured bacterium. RNAcentral describes it as "partial 16S ribosomal RNA". It matches the Rfam family "Bacterial small subunit ribosomal RNA", at positions 338 to 795 of the family's 1533-position model. The record is from RNAcentral.
CCUACGGGUGGCAGCAGUGAGGAAUAUUGGUCAAUGGGCGCGAGCCUGAACCAGCCAAGUCGCGUGAGGGAUGAAGGUUCUAUGGAUCGUAAACCUCUUUUAUAAGGGAAUAAAGUGUGGGACGUGUCCUAUUUUGUAUGUACCUUAUGAAUAAGGAUCGGCUAACUCCGUGCCAGCAGCCGCGGUAAUACGGAGGAUCCGAGCGUUAUCCGGAUUUAUUGGGUUUAAAGGGUGCGUAGGCGGCCUUUUAAGUCAGCGGUGAAAUUGAGAGGCUCAACCUCUUCGAGCCGUUGAAACUGGUUUUCUUGAGUGAGUGAGAAGUAUGCGGAAUGCGUGGUGUAGCGGUGAAAUGCAUAGAUAUCACGCAGAACUCCGAUUGCGAAGGCAGCAUACCGGCGCUCAACUGACGCUCAUGCACGAAAGUGUGGGUAUCGAACAGGAUUAGAUACCCUGGUAGUC